RNAcentral lists this unclassified non-coding RNA (224 nucleotides) under plant metagenome. RNAcentral's name for it is "partial contains small subunit ribosomal RNA, internal transcribed spacer 1, and 5.8S ribosomal RNA". The record is from RNAcentral.
UUUCCGUAGGUGAACCUGCGGAAGGAUCAUUACAGAGUACAUGCCCGAAAGGGUAGACCUCCCACAUUUGUGUAUUAUGACUUUGUUGCCUUGGCUAGCUGCCUUUGGGCCUCUGGCUUUCAAGCUUGAGAACUCUCGCCCGAUUAAAUUAAAACUCUUUUUAUUAAUGUCAUAUUAUUACUAUAUAAUAGUUAAAACUUUCAACAACAGAUCUCUUGGUUCUG